GUCUCUCGCUCCCACCAGAGCUUGGAAUCCGUCUCUGCUCUUCUGCAUUCUCCACCUCGGGAGCCCCUGGGGACUCUGUGACGGCCUCUGUUGCCCUGUGAUCUGCAGGUCCGGAGAGACGCACAGCUAAGAUGUCAGGACAUCCUGGAAGCUGGGAAAGGGUCUUGCCAUCUCUAAGCUGGACCUGGUGACCUUUUUGGAGGGAAAGAAAGAGCCCUGGACUGUGAAGAGUGAGGAGACCAUAGCUGCACAGCCAGAGAUGGGGUUCCAUCAUGUUUUCCAGGCUGAUCUCAAACUCCCACGGUCAAGCGAUCUGCUGGCCUCGGCCUCUCAAGUCCAGAUGUAUAAUCUCAUCCCUGAACAUUUCUGAUGGUGUGAUUAUGACAUGUGACUUUAUCUGGCAACAGAGUGAGUUGUUGCUCCCGCCUGAGCCCAGCCCCCAGAAAGGAUUGUGACAUAUCGUUGGACCCAGAAUUGAGAAGGCAUUGAGACAUGGCUGGGCUCAGCACUAAGAAGAUGUGAGUCCUCUGCCUGAAGCCUGACCACAGGGAGCAUUGUGACACAUUUCUUGACCCAUUACAAUCUCUUCUACGGGCAAAGCUGAGAUGGAGUUUUGCUCCUUUUGCCCAGGCUGGAUUGCAAUGGUGCAAUCUCAGCUCACCACAACCUUCAUCUCCCAGGUUCAAGCAAUUCUUCAGCCUCAGCCCCCUGAGUAUCUGGGAUUACAGGUGGAAUUGUGACAUAUAACUUGGCCAAGCACACAGAUGUAAUGGUGUGGUGACUCUCAUACCUAGAACUGGGACCUGUGCAGGAUUGUUAAUUCAUUACUGGACAUUCCUGUGGGUGUGAUUGUUACAUAUGCCUAUGUUCAGCACCCGAGUGAUUUGAUUUUGCUGCCUGGUCUCAGUCCAAAUGUAAGAUUGUGAUUUAUCGCUGAAUCCAGCACCUCGGUGAUUUGACUCUCCCUUUUUUUGUGGGAGGGAUCCUGCAAAUUUUGGGUAUUGUCAAUUAUUGCUGAAUCCUGUACCCAUGUUAUGACUCUCCCAAAUGUGCCUUACCUGUUGUGGCACAAUAUAUCACAUUAGACAUUGUUAAAUAUUGUUGGGUU
RNAcentral lists this long non-coding RNA (1108 nucleotides) under Homo sapiens (human). RNAcentral's name for it is "HSALNT0396920". The record is from RNAcentral. Lineage: Eukaryota; Metazoa; Chordata; Mammalia; Primates; Hominidae.